GCUCAAAUUUGUAAUCUGGCUGUCUUCGAUAGUCCGAGUUGUAAUCUAUAGACGUGUUUUCCGUGCUGGACCGUAUCUAAGUCCCUUGGAACAGGGUAUCAAAGAGGGUGACAAUCCCGUGCUUGAUACGACCACCAGUGCUCUGUGAUACACGCUCUACGAGUCGAGUUGUUUGGGAAUGCAGCUCAAAAUGGGUGGUAAAUUCCAUCUAAAGCUAAAUAUUGGCGAGAGACCGAUAGCGAACAAGUACCGUGAGGGAAAGAUGAAAAGCACUUUGGAAAGAGAGUUAAACAGUACGUGAAAUUGUUGAAAGGGAAACGAUUGAAGUCAGUCGUGUUCUUUGGAUUCAGCUAGUUCUUCUAGUCUACUUCCUUUGAACGGGUCAACAUCAGUUUUGUCCGGUGGAUAAAGAUAGUAGGAAUGUAGCUCCCUCGGGAGUGUUAUAGACUAUUAUUGCAUGCACUGGGUGAGACUGAGGACUGCAGCUCGCCUUUUGGCCGACCUUCGGGUACGUUCGAGCUUAGGAUGUUGACA
This 534-nucleotide ribosomal RNA is filed under the name Cutaneotrichosporon moniliiforme. Its description in RNAcentral is "eukaryotic LSU rRNA". It matches the Rfam family "Eukaryotic large subunit ribosomal RNA", at positions 107 to 631 of the family's 3401-position model. The record is from RNAcentral. Lineage: Eukaryota; Fungi; Basidiomycota; Tremellomycetes; Trichosporonales; Trichosporonaceae.